Molecule: transfer RNA, 81 nt
Filed under: Streptococcus pneumoniae
Lineage: Bacteria; Bacillati; Bacillota; Bacilli; Lactobacillales; Streptococcaceae
Description: transfer RNA-Tyr(GTA)
Rfam family: tRNA
About the family: Transfer RNA (tRNA) molecules are approximately 80 nucleotides in length.
Source: RNAcentral
GGAAGGGUAGCGAAGAGGCUAAACGCGGCGGACUGUAAAUCCGCUCCUUCGGGUUCGGGGGGUCGAAUCCCUCCCCUUCCA